AGUGAACGCUGGCGGUAGGCCUAACACAUGCAAGUCGAACGGCAGCACAGUAAGAGCUUGCUCUUACGGGUGGCGAGUGGCGGACGGGUGAGGAAUACAUCGGAAUCUACUUUUUCUUGGGGGACAACGUAGGGACACUUAUGCUAAUACAGCAUACGUCCUACGGGUUAAAGCAGGGGAUCUUCGGACCUUGCGCGAUUGAAUGAGCCGAUGUCGGAUUAGCUAGUUGGCAGGGUAAAGGCCCACCAAGGCGACGAUCCGUAGCUGGUCUGAGAGGAUGAUCAGCCACACUGGAACUGAGACACGGUCCAGACUCCUACGGGAGGCAGCAGUGGGGAAUAUUGGACAAUGGGCGAAAGCCUGAUCCAGCCAUACCGCGUGGGUGAAGAAGGCCUUCGGGUUGUAAAGCCCUUUUGUUGGGAAAGAAAAGCAGCAGGUUAAUACCCCGCUGUUCUGACGGUACCCAAAGAAUAAGCACCGGCUAACUUCGUG
This 492-nucleotide ribosomal RNA is filed under the name uncultured bacterium. RNAcentral describes it as "partial 16S ribosomal RNA". It matches the Rfam family "Bacterial small subunit ribosomal RNA", at positions 29 to 507 of the family's 1533-position model. The record is from RNAcentral.